RNAcentral lists this ribosomal RNA (253 nucleotides) under uncultured bacterium. Its description in RNAcentral is "partial 16S ribosomal RNA". It matches the Rfam family "Bacterial small subunit ribosomal RNA", at positions 524 to 776 of the family's 1533-position model. The record is from RNAcentral.
UACGUAGGGGGCGAGCGUUGUCCGGAGUUACUGGGCGUAAAGGGCACGCAGGCGGUCGGGUAAGUUUGGAGUGACAUUCCUCGGCUUAACUGAGGAAGGUCUUCGAAGACUGCCCGACUUGAGGGCUCACGAGGGACACGGAAUUCCGGGUGGAGUGGUGAAAUGCGUAGAGAUCCGGAGGAACACCAAAGGCGAAGGCAGUGUCCUGGGGAGUACCUGACGCUCAGGUGCGAAAGCCAGGGGAGCGAACGGG